GGCCUGCUGGCCCAAUGGCAAGGCGCUUGACUACGACCCGGGCUGCGGUCCGGUCGGUAUCAAGAGAUUGCAGGUUCGAUCCUUGCGUAGGUCA
RNAcentral lists this transfer RNA (94 nucleotides) under Drepanopeziza brunnea f. sp. 'multigermtubi' MB_m1. Its description in RNAcentral is "Marssonina brunnea f. sp. 'multigermtubi' MB_m1 tRNA". It matches the Rfam family "tRNA". Rfam says of the family: Transfer RNA (tRNA) molecules are approximately 80 nucleotides in length. Their secondary structure includes four short double-helical elements and three loops (D, anti-codon, and T loops). The record is from Rfam by way of RNAcentral. Lineage: Eukaryota; Fungi; Ascomycota; Leotiomycetes; Helotiales; Drepanopezizaceae.